GACGAACGCUGGCGGCGUGCUUAACACAUGCAAGUCGAACGGAAAGGCCCUGCUUUUGUGGGGUGCUCGAGUGGCGAACGGGUGAGUAACACGUGAGUAACCUGCCCCUGACUUUGGGAUAACUUCAGGAAACUGGGGCUAAUACCGGAUAGGAGCUCCUGCUGCAUGGUGGGGGUGGGAAAGUUUCGGCGGUUGGGGAUGGACUCGCGGCUUAUCAGCUUGUUGGUGGGGUAGUGGCUUACCAAGGCUUUGACGGGUAGCCGGCCUGAGAGGGUGACCGGCCACAUUGGGACUGAGAUACGGCCCAGACUCCUACGGGAGGCAGCAGUGGGGAAUAUUGCACAAUGGGCGGAAGCCUGAUGCAGCAACGCCGCGUGCGGGAUGACGGCCUUCGGGUUGUAAACCGCUUUCGCCUGUGACGAAGCGUGAGUGACGGUAAUGGGUAAAGAAGCACCGGCUAACUACGUG
Molecule: ribosomal RNA, 468 nt
Filed under: uncultured bacterium
Lineage: Bacteria
Description: partial 16S ribosomal RNA
Rfam family: Bacterial small subunit ribosomal RNA
Source: RNAcentral